ACUGGGCGUAAGCGCACGCAGGCGGUCUGUCAAGUCGGAUGUGAAAUCCCCGGGCUCAACCUGGGAACUGCAUUCGAAACUGGCAGGCUAGAGUCUUGUAGAGGGGGGUAGAAUUCCAGGUGUAGCGGUGAAAUGCGUAGAGAUCUGGAGGAAUACCGGUGGCGAAGGCGGCCCCCUGGACAAAGACUGACGCUCAGGUGCGAAAGCGUGGGGAGCAAACAGGAUUAGAUACCCUGGUAGUCCACGCCGUAAACGAUGUCGACUUGGAGGUUGUGCCCUUGAGGCGUGGCUUCCGGAGCUAACGCGUUAAGUCGACCGCCUGGGGAGUACGGCCGCAAGGUUAAAACUCAAAUGAAUUGACGGGGGCCCGCACAAGCGGUGGAGCAUGUGGUUUAAUUCGAUGCAACGCGAAGAACCUUACCUACUCUUGACAUCCACAGAACUUGGCAGAGAUGAAU
This 458-nucleotide ribosomal RNA is filed under the name Enterobacter asburiae. RNAcentral describes it as "bacterial SSU rRNA". It matches the Rfam family "Bacterial small subunit ribosomal RNA", at positions 553 to 1011 of the family's 1533-position model. Lineage: Bacteria; Pseudomonadati; Pseudomonadota; Gammaproteobacteria; Enterobacterales; Enterobacteriaceae. The record is from RNAcentral.